Small nucleolar RNA from Ornithorhynchus anatinus (platypus), 138 nucleotides. The record is from RefSeq and is a predicted model, not a curated record. Lineage: Eukaryota; Metazoa; Chordata; Mammalia; Monotremata; Ornithorhynchidae.
CCCCUUUUAGGAUUGCACCUAGAGAGUUUCCAGUACUCUACCAGUCUCAGCUAUGGGAGGGAGAGUCAAGCAGAGGUAUAACCUUUCUAUUCCUAGCUUGGGCAGUGGCUAGCCAGUGGAAGACAAUCUGGUACAAGU